AGCUGAUCCCACGCCACACACCUGACGUGGGGUUUUUCUUUCAAAAUGUGCGUUUUGAGGAACUUCUGAACACCUAUCCAGCCAUUUCAUGUUUUCAUCCCAUUCGAAUUCCCGCCUCCCAUUUAUUGCUCUCGGUGUCGGUAGCUCUUCCACCUUCAAAACCCGCCGUCGCCCCUCCCUCCUCUGCUCUGGGCGUCGCCGUCGCACAUCCACUGUCCAGCACCCCGCAUCGCCCAUUUGUGCCCAGCACCCGCCGUCGCCCCUCCUCUGCUCUGGGUCCCACGUCGUCGUCGCCCAUCCUCAGCCCAGCACCCCGCUUCGCCGUCAAUCAUCCUCUGCAAGACAAACAACUUUGCAAGAAUUCCAAAUAAUGAUGGAGAUCGAAAAUGGGAUUGGACAACACUCUGGACACCUGCAGAACUAAAGAUUUAUGGAAAUAGUUGCAGCCAAAUAGUGGCCAUGGGAGUUGGUUUUGUCUUUGUUGUUGUAUUUGUUUACACUCAAGUUAGAGAAGUACAAUACUUUGUUGUUGUUUUAGUUUGGAAACUGAGCUGUUGGAUUUCCUUUCCUUCAUGUAUGGGGCAUUGUGAGGAUUUUGAAGAAGAUUCUCCAAAAUUUUAAACUGAUCUGUUUUGAUAAGCACAGUUUGUCAAGCAAAGUAUAAACUAUAUGUAUAAACU
Long non-coding RNA from Carya illinoinensis, 680 nucleotides. RefSeq lists it as uncharacterized. The transcript has 2 exons. The record is from RefSeq and is a predicted model, not a curated record. NCBI's taxonomy places the organism in Eukaryota, Viridiplantae, Streptophyta, Magnoliopsida, Fagales, Juglandaceae.